GUCUACAGCCAUGUCACCCUGAACACGCCUGAUUUCAUCAGGUCUCAGAAGCUAAGCAGGGUCAGGCCUGGUUAGUACUUAGAUGGAAGACCACCUAGGAAUACCAGGUGCUGUAGGCG
This 119-nucleotide ribosomal RNA is filed under the name Pteropus alecto (black flying fox). The record is from RNAcentral. Lineage: Eukaryota; Metazoa; Chordata; Mammalia; Chiroptera; Pteropodidae.